UUUUAUGGAGAGUUUGAUCCUGGCUCAGGAUGAACGCUGGCGGCGUGCCUAAUACAUGCAAGUCGAGCGAACGGACGAGAAGCUUGCUUCUCUGAUGUUAGCGGCGGACGGGUGAGUAACACGUGGAUAACCUACCUAUAAGACUGGGAUAACUUCGGGAAACCGGAGCUAAUACCGGAUAAUAUUUUGAACCGCAUGGUUCAAAAGUGAAAGACGGUCUUGCUGUCACUUAUAGAUGGAUCCGCGCUGCAUUAGCUAGUUGGUAAGGUAA
Molecule: ribosomal RNA, 271 nt
Filed under: Staphylococcus aureus
Lineage: Bacteria; Bacillati; Bacillota; Bacilli; Caryophanales; Staphylococcaceae
Description: partial 16S ribosomal RNA
Rfam family: Bacterial small subunit ribosomal RNA
Source: RNAcentral